UACGAAGGGGGCUAGCGUUGCUCGGAAUCACUGGGCGUAAAGGGUGCGUAGGCGGGUUUUUAAGUCAGGGGUGUAAUCCUGGAGCUCAACUCCAGAACUGCCUUUGAUACUGAAGAUCUUGAGUCCGGGAGAGGUGAGUGGAACUGCGAGUGUAGAGGUGAAAUUCGUAGAUAUUCGCAAGAACACCAGUGGCGAAGGCGGCUCACUGGCCCGGUACUGACGCUGAGGCACGAAAGCGUGGGGAGCAAACAGG
RNAcentral lists this ribosomal RNA (253 nucleotides) under uncultured bacterium. RNAcentral describes it as "partial 16S ribosomal RNA". It matches the Rfam family "Bacterial small subunit ribosomal RNA", at positions 524 to 776 of the family's 1533-position model. The record is from RNAcentral.